UUAAGCGUGAGGUCGGUGGUUCAAGUCCACUUAGGCCCAUCGGAUGGGGCCUUAGCUCAGCUGGGAGAGCGCCUGCUUUGCAAGCAGGAGGUCAUCGGUUCGAUCCCGAUAGGCUCCACCAUAUCGAAUCAACCGAAUGAAGUCCGCGUUGAGGAACAGGAAUUGUUUUCUUAACAUAGGGAUCGUUCCUUGAAAACUAGAUAACCGGAAAAGCGGAGGCGCCGAGAUCAGCUCUCGAAGCCAAAUGUUCUUCACCCGCUGGGGUGCUUGCACCCCGAGGGGUGAAGGUGAUUUGGCGGAGGAGAGCCAGGCGCCGAAGCUGGACAGAAGGAAGAAGCCGAGAGCGCAA
Molecule: transfer RNA, 349 nt
Filed under: Geobacillus jurassicus
Lineage: Bacteria; Bacillati; Bacillota; Bacilli; Caryophanales; Anoxybacillaceae
Description: partial 16S-23S ribosomal RNA intergenic spacer
Rfam family: tRNA (bases 46-118)
Source: RNAcentral